GAUGAACGCUGGCGGCGUGCCUAAUACAUGCAAGUCGAGCGAACGGACGAGAAGCUUGCUUCUCUGACGUUAGCGGCGGACGGGUGAGUAACACGUGGAUAACCUACCUAUAAGACUGGGAUAACUUCGGGAAACCGGAGCUAAUACCGGAUGAUAUAUUGAACCGCAUGGUUCAAAAGUGAAAGACGGUUUUGCUGUCACCUAUAGAUGGAUCCGCGCUGCAUUAGCUAGUUGGUAAGGUAACGGCUUACCAAGGCAACGAUGCGUAGCCGACCUGAGAGGGUGAUCGGCCACACUGGAACUGAGACACGGUCCAGACUCCUACGGGAGGCAGCAGUAGGGAAUCUUCCGCAAUGGGCGAAAGCCUGACGGAGCAACGCCGCGUGAGUGAUGAAGGUCUUCGGAUCGUAAAACUCUGUUAUUAGGGAAGAACAUAUGUGUAAGUAACUGUGCACGUCUUGACGGUACCUAAUCAGAAAGCCACGGCUAACUACGUG
Molecule: ribosomal RNA, 497 nt
Filed under: uncultured bacterium
Lineage: Bacteria
Description: partial 16S ribosomal RNA
Rfam family: Bacterial small subunit ribosomal RNA
Source: RNAcentral